This 74-nucleotide transfer RNA is filed under the name Planctomycetota bacterium. RNAcentral's name for it is "Planctomycetes bacterium tRNA-Arg". It matches the Rfam family "tRNA". From Rfam's summary of the family: Transfer RNA (tRNA) molecules are approximately 80 nucleotides in length. Their secondary structure includes four short double-helical elements and three loops (D, anti-codon, and T loops). Lineage: Bacteria; Pseudomonadati; Planctomycetota. The record is from RNAcentral.
GCACCAGUAGCUCAGCUGGAUAGAGCACCUGAUUUCUAAUCAGGCGGUCAGAGGUUCAAAUCCUCUCUGGUGUA